Molecule: ribosomal RNA, 419 nt
Filed under: uncultured bacterium
Lineage: Bacteria
Description: bacterial SSU rRNA
Rfam family: Bacterial small subunit ribosomal RNA
Source: RNAcentral
CGUGUCGUGAGAUGUUGGGUUAAGUCCCGCAACGAGCGCAACCCUUGUUAUUAGUUGCCAGCAUUAAGUUGGGCACUCUAAUGAGGCUGCCGGUGACAAACCGGAGGAAGGUGGGGAUGACGUCAAGUCAUCAUGCCCCUUAUGACCUGGGCUACACACGUGCUACAAUGGGCAGUACAACGAGAAGCAAGCCUGCGAAGGCAAGCGAAUCUCUGAAAGCUGUUCUCAGUUCGGACUGCAGUCUGCAACUCGACUGCACGAAGCUGGAAUCGCUAGUAAUCGCGGAUCAGCACGCCGCGGUGAAUACGUUCCCGGGCCUUGUACACACCGCCCGUCACACCAUGGGAGUCUGCAAUGCCCAAAGCCGGUGGCCUAACCUUCGGGAAGGAGCCGUCUAAGGCAGGGCAGAUGACUGGGGU